UACGUAGGGGGCAAGCGUUGUCCGGAUUUAUUGGGCGUAAAGAGCGUGUAGGCGGCCAGGUAGGUCAGCUGUGAAAACUCGAGGCUCAACCUCGAGACGUCGGUUGAAACCAUCUGGCUAGAGUCCGGAAGAGGAGAGUGGAAUUCCUGGUGUAGCGGUGAAAUGCGCAGAUAUCAGGAAGAACACCCGUGGCGAAGGCGGCUCUCUGGGACGGUACUGACGCUGAGACGCGAAAGCGUGGGUAGCAAACAGG
Molecule: ribosomal RNA, 253 nt
Filed under: uncultured bacterium
Lineage: Bacteria
Description: partial 16S ribosomal RNA
Rfam family: Bacterial small subunit ribosomal RNA
Source: RNAcentral